This 444-nucleotide ribosomal RNA is filed under the name uncultured bacterium. Its description in RNAcentral is "partial 16S ribosomal RNA". It matches the Rfam family "Bacterial small subunit ribosomal RNA", at positions 338 to 795 of the family's 1533-position model. The record is from RNAcentral.
CCUACGGGUGGCUGCAGUGGGGAAUAUUGGGCAAUGGAGGCAACUCUUACCCAGCAAUGCCGCGUGAAUGAAGAAGGUCUUCGGAUUGUAAAGUUCUUUAAUUGGGGACGAAAAAAAUGACGGUACCCAAGGAAUAAGCCCCGGCUAACUACGUGCCAGCAGCCGCGGUAAUACGUAGGGGGCAAGCGGUGGUCGGGAUGACUGGGCGUAAAGGGGGUGGAGGGGGUGUAGCAAGGUAGAAUGGAAAUACCUCGAGCUUAACUCAGGUGCUGCUUCUAAAACUGCGAUACUUGAGUGCAGGAGAGGAAAGUGGAAUUCCUAGGGUAGCGGUGGAAUGCGUAGAUAUUAGGAGGAACAUCAGUGGCGAAGGCGACUUUCUGGACUGUAACUGACGCUGAGGCACGAAAGUGUGGGGAGCAAACAGGAUUAGAUACCCCAGUAGUC